Bos taurus (domestic cattle) is the source of this 2587-nucleotide long non-coding RNA. Lineage: Eukaryota; Metazoa; Chordata; Mammalia; Artiodactyla; Bovidae. The record is from Ensembl.
CUUAUGUCUCCUGUAUUGCCAGGCGUGUUCUUACCCACUAACACCACCUGGGAAGCUUGGGAAGUUGAAGCUCAAGUUGCUAGUACUCCUGGGGAAGGAACAAUGACAACAUCAGAUUAUCUUAAAACCAGAAGGAAAUGAGGGAAGAAACACAGUGAUCCGGAGCUGAAGCGCAGCCACGAGGAGCCAGAAAACGGAGGAGGGUGACUGUUCUGCUGAAGAGUGUACCUUCUAAUUCAGAAAACUUAGUCACCAGACUGAGAACAGAUAACAAGAGUAGGAGGAAGGACUGGGGAGUGUGGGGAAACGUUUCACAAAGCUCUGAAAUCCGCAGCAUGCAGAGCAAGCUCUUGACAAACUCGCAGCUUUCUGGAACCUUCGGAAAAUGAAAAUCCAACUCAUAGGAUAAAGCAAAUAGCCCCACUGGUUAUUUCACAGCACAUAUCUAACUAACACCCAUCAAAGCUCUGAACAGUGGAGAUGGUUCUAAAAGCAUCAUCUACCCCUAGGCAAGAUUAUAUUCAGUCCUCGAAUAAUCUAUAAAAUGUGGCUCCAUUUUGAAAAUCACCAUUUUGUGCCUAAAUGGCAUAAUGGAUAAAAAAUUGGCUCCACUAUUUCACUCAAUCUAAGGUCCCCACUCCAGUACUCUUGCCUGAAAAAUCCCAUGGAUGGUGGAGCCUGGUAGGCUGCAGUCCAUGGGGUCACUAAGAGUUGGACACGAUUGAGCGACUUCACUUUCAACUUUCACUUUCAUGCAUUGGAGAAGGAAAUGGCAACUCACUCCAGUGUUCUUGCCUGGAGAAUCCCAGGGACGGGGGAGCCUGGUGGGCUGCCGUCUAUGGGGUCGCACAGAGUUGGACAAGACUGAAGCAACUUAGCAGCAGCAGCAAAGUCCCUUAGGAGCUUCCUAGAUGUCUCAGUGGUAAAGAAUCCGCCUGCCAAUGCAGGAGAUGCAGGUUGGAUCCCCUGGAGAAGGAAAUGGCAACCCAUUCCAGUAUUCUUGCCAGGAAAAUCUAUAGGACAGAGGAGCCUGGUGGGCUACAGUCCAUGGGUUUGCAAAAGAGCUGGACACAACUUGGAUGAAACAACAACAAGGUCUCUUGGAACUCUAAGCACAAGUUUAAGAAAAAUUACCACUUUAAAAAUGGCUCUACAGGGGACGAGCAAACACAGAAACUGAUGUGGAUGCUCAUGUCACCUGUCAGCACUGGGUUAUAAGCACUCAGAUGAGUCAGUUCUUAUUUUAACUUUAUACUUUUUCAUCGGAAUGAAAACAAUUUUAAAAAUGUUUAUCAAGAAAUGAAUAGGCCCCAGAGAAGAACCCUUCCAGAUCUGUGGACCACAGUUUUAGGUAGGGGAAGCCAUGUUUGAGGCUGAGAGGCAAUGUGAUUUGACCAUUUUGUUACAGGGAAGAGCAAAAUUUGACUACAUAUUGGAUCCUAUUUUUUUUUCCCAUUUAAACUUUGCUUCUUAUUGCUUUUGUUCACUAAGAGGAUACGGUCCAUACAUAAUGGCCUGCCUCGGGGAACCCUGCCCCUCUGCCUGAAUGCUAAACCAAAAUGCCUUUAGUCAGGGAGAUGUCCUGACCCUGUCCACCUGUGAAAGGCUGCAAGAAAGAAAUUACCAUAUCAGCUUCCUGAAGCUAACCAUCCCGGUAGAUAUUUGCAAGACGUACGAACUUCCUCACCUCCUCCCCAUCUCUAUUCUAUAAAAGAAUCUAGAAUUAUAUAAAAGAAUCUAUCCAGACCCCAACAAGAUGGUUAUUUUGAAACAUUUUCUGCCAUCUUCUCCGUCUGCUGGUUUUCUGAAUAAAAAACACCUGGUCUCCUGACUUACUGGCCUGUCCUGCAGUGAGCAGAGUAAGCUCUGACUUGGUAACAGUUCCUUCCUUGCUCUGUGGAGUGUAAAUGGAUGGGUGAGAUAGGAAACCACAUCUUUAGUAGCAACUGAAAUAGCUGAGCAGAAGGAGUAAGCAGCUUGGCUUUCAGAAGACAUGGCCAUUUAUGGCUGUCACCGCCUAACAGGGCCACCUGCACAGCCACCCUGAUUGCCCACACACAUUUGAGUCUGUUCAAAGACACAGAAGGAAUUUUCAUACAAAAGAAUCUUCUGGCCUUAGCAGUAAUUGAGUCAGACUGUGAUGGAAGAUCGACACAUUUAUAUUAUCGUCACACAGAGGUUUGAUUUUUCUACUGGCACAAAGUAUUCUGAAAAAGAAUGGAAAAUUACCCCUGUUUACUUCAAAGAGCAAGGCUGACUUCCUCGAAAUCUGUAGCCCUUCGGUGUUGCUCAGGGCAACUGAUUUAAUUCAAAGACAGCCUGUCUGUGAUUGACAGCUUAAGAAAAGUCAGGUUUAUUUGUGAGAGAUUUGUGAUCAGAUUAUAGUAGGGAUGUAGAAAGAUAUCAAGCAGUUAGGAAAACAAGAGCAGAUUUUAGAUCUGUUUAGCAAGUUGAGAAAAGUCUAUUACCAAAAACCUGCACUCGUGUGAGAAUUUGCAGGCAAGCUAUUGGAUAACUUCUAAGAAAAUAUUCACCAGAGGCAUAGAAAUAACUAAACAAAUCUGGCGAAUGCAUUUUCACACAAGGA